CCCUGCCAUUUGUACACACCGCCCGUCGCUACUACCGAUUGAAUGGCUUAGUGAGACCUCCGGAUCGGUUUUCUUCGAGCUUCGCGGCUUGUUGAAUGCUGAGAAGUUGGUCAAACUUGGUCAUUUAGAGGAAGUAAAAGUCGUAACAAG
This 150-nucleotide ribosomal RNA is filed under the name uncultured eukaryote. Its description in RNAcentral is "partial small subunit ribosomal RNA". It matches the Rfam family "Eukaryotic small subunit ribosomal RNA", at positions 1651 to 1798 of the family's 1831-position model. The record is from RNAcentral.